ACUACAUAUGAUGAAGCCAUUUACGGAUGUUAAACACAUAAAACAUACCGAGAGCGCAUAAACCCCAUGUGGAAUUUUCCGUUGCCUUCCUUCUGAUCCCCUAC
Molecule: small nucleolar RNA, 104 nt
Filed under: Laccaria bicolor S238N-H82
Lineage: Eukaryota; Fungi; Basidiomycota; Agaricomycetes; Agaricales; Hydnangiaceae
Description: Small nucleolar RNA Z13/snr52
Rfam family: Small nucleolar RNA Z13/snr52
About the family: Z13 or snr52 is a member of the C/D class of snoRNA which contain the C (UGAUGA) and D (CUGA) box motifs.
Source: Rfam by way of RNAcentral